Molecule: ribosomal RNA, 253 nt
Filed under: uncultured bacterium
Lineage: Bacteria
Description: partial 16S ribosomal RNA
Rfam family: Bacterial small subunit ribosomal RNA
Source: RNAcentral
UACGAAGGGGGCUAGCGUUGUUCGGAAUUACUGGGCGUAAAGCGCGCGCAGGCGGUUCGUCAAGUUGGGGGUGAAAUCCCCGGGCUCAACCCGGGAAUGGCCUUCAAAACUGUCGAGCUAGAGGACGAGAGAGGUGAGUGGAAUUCCCAGUGUAGAGGUGAAAUUCGUAGAUAUUGGGAAGAACACCGGUGGCGAAGGCGGCUCACUGGCUCGUUUCUGACGCUGAGGCGCGAAAGCGUGGGGAGCAAACAGG